RNAcentral lists this ribosomal RNA (253 nucleotides) under uncultured bacterium. RNAcentral's name for it is "partial 16S ribosomal RNA". It matches the Rfam family "Bacterial small subunit ribosomal RNA", at positions 524 to 776 of the family's 1533-position model. The record is from RNAcentral.
UACGUAGGGUGCAAGCGUUGCCCGGAUUUAUUGGGCGUAAAGGGCGCGUAGGCGGCUCUGCACGUCCGUUGUGAAAUCGCCCGGCUCAACUGGGCGGGGUCAGCGGAUACGGCAGAGCUUGAGCAAGCUAGGGGGCGUGGAAUUCCGGGUGGAGCGGUGAAAUGCGUAGAGAUCCGGAGGAACACCGACGGCGUAGGCAGCGCCCUGGACGACACCUGACGCUGAGGCACGAAAGCUGGGGGAGCGAAACAGG